AGACAGAAAACCCGCCAAAACUAAAACCGUGUACAAUUAAUUAUGCUCCUAAUGUUCUUAUUGUAAAUGUUGUUCUAUUAUUAUUUCACGUUAAAUAUAAAACUUGCACAAUAAAUUGCUUUGUUUAACGAAACAUCGACAUGUAAGUGGUACAGCGACAACUCCAAAAAUUAAUAUAAUAUGCAAUAAUGUCUAUUUUUUUUAAGUCGAAGCUUCUUGGGUGCAUAUUGCGAGUGAAUAAAGAGAAUGAAUAGUCCGGCAAGUCUCUGAUAGUUUACGGGAGAGUACUUUCUAGAGCCCGUGGAAGAGCAACGUUCCAGUCAAGCCCGAACAAACACUAUUAAGCACCCACGCUACGUGACAAGCUACUUACAAUCUAGCGCCAACAUCAGCUUCCAAUUCCCCUGCUUCUUCCAUUUUUUCGGGUUCAUUUUCAUCAUCUGGUGCGUUCGACAUUUUCAACAGCCACUUCAACUAGGCCUAUGAAAAUUUAUUUACCAAACUUUGACUAUGAGAAUCAAAGAUUUUGUUAAAGAUGAUAUUAAUAAAACACUAUGCGUCAGAAAAUGACAAAUUAUAGUACAA
Long non-coding RNA from Bombyx mori (domestic silkworm), 585 nucleotides. RefSeq lists it as uncharacterized. The transcript has 2 exons. NCBI's taxonomy places the organism in Eukaryota, Metazoa, Arthropoda, Insecta, Lepidoptera, Bombycidae. The record is from RefSeq and is a predicted model, not a curated record.